AUUGAACGCUGGCGGCAUGCUUUACACAUGCAAGUCGAACGGUAACAGGCCGCAAGGUGCUGACGAGUGGCGAACGGGCGAGUAAUGCAUCGGAACGUGCCCAGUCGUGGGGGAUAACUACUCGAAAGAGUAGCUAAUACCGCAUACGAUCUAAGGUUGAAAGCGGGGGAGCGUAAGGGCUCGCGCGAUCGGAGCGGCCGAUGUCCGAUUAGGUAGGUGGUGGGGUAAAGGCUCACCAAGCCAACGAGCUGUAGCUGGUCUGAGAGGACGACCGGCCACACUGGGACUGAGACACGGCCCAGACUCCUACGGGAGGCAGCAGUGGGGAAUGUUGGACAAUGGGCGCAAGCCUGAUCCAGCAAUGCCGCGUGCAGGAAGAAGGCCUUCGGGUUGUAAACUGCUUUUGUACGGAACGAAACGGCUCUGGUUAAUACCCGGGGCUAAUGACGGUACCGUAAGAAUAAGCACCGGCUAACUACGUG
This 482-nucleotide ribosomal RNA is filed under the name uncultured bacterium. RNAcentral's name for it is "partial 16S ribosomal RNA". It matches the Rfam family "Bacterial small subunit ribosomal RNA", at positions 29 to 507 of the family's 1533-position model. The record is from RNAcentral.